Arachis ipaensis is the source of this 270-nucleotide non-coding RNA. The record is from RefSeq and is a predicted model, not a curated record. NCBI's taxonomy places the organism in Eukaryota, Viridiplantae, Streptophyta, Magnoliopsida, Fabales, Fabaceae.
UGGUCUUAAUGGUUACCAUACAACACUCACUGAAAUACUGACAACCAACCCACCUUCCUCUCAUUCUUCAUAUUCAUAUUAAUUCUCUCUUCCUCCAUUCAUAUUCCUACUUAUUCAUUCUCUUACUCUCUCUCUUUUCUCUCUACACUUUUAGUGCAAUUGUGGGAGCUUCUUUUCAACUUAUAACCAAAUAGUAUUACACCACCUCAACAACCUAAGGUACCAAGCUAGAAUUAAUGACAUGAGUAGAUAGAAGAAGAUAUAUAGAUA